GGGCUGGCGGGUACCGACUGCGCUGUCAUCUGUGCCAUGAGGGGUCAGUGCUCAGCGGGCAGGGUGAGCGCUCUUGGGGUCUCACAACCCCAGUAGCCCACUUCUAUCCCCAGAUCACCCCUGAGCCCUGCAGAGUCACUUCUCUGGGUGCUGAGGUCGCCUGUCCUGCAGAGCAGGGGCUCUCCUCCCUGUGUGCUGUGCUGCAAAGGGAAUGUAAUUUAUUGUCUUGAAUAAACACUUGGUUUGGGUUUCUCCAUCUCCUCCUGUCUCUGGUUUGUGCUUUAACCCCAAAGGGGGCUGCAGCCGAGCCCAGGACCAUGGCCCAGCCUGGGAUCCUUUGGGUUCUGUAAAGCACGGAGCAGAACAACAUGAAAGGUUACGUAAAAUC
This is a long non-coding RNA of Neopsephotus bourkii (Bourke's parrot), 388 nucleotides long. RefSeq lists it as uncharacterized. NCBI's taxonomy places the organism in Eukaryota, Metazoa, Chordata, Aves, Psittaciformes, Psittacidae. The record is from RefSeq and is a predicted model, not a curated record. The transcript has 2 exons.